RNAcentral lists this ribosomal RNA (460 nucleotides) under uncultured bacterium. RNAcentral's name for it is "partial 16S ribosomal RNA". It matches the Rfam family "Bacterial small subunit ribosomal RNA", at positions 338 to 795 of the family's 1533-position model. The record is from RNAcentral.
CCUACGGGGGGCAGCAGUGAGGAAUAUUGGUCAAUGGACGAGAGUCUGAACCAGCUAAGUAGCGUGAAGGAUGACUGCCCUAUGGGUUGUAAACUUCUUUUAUAUGGGCAUAAAAUGUUCCACGUGUGGGAUUUUGUAUGUACCAUAUGAAUAAGGAUCGGCUAACUCCGUGCCAGCCGCCGCGGUAAUACGGAGGAUGCGAGCGUUAUCCGGAUUUAUUGGGUUUAAAGGGAGCGUAGGUGGAUUGUUAAGUCAGUUGUGAAAGUUUGGGGCUUAACCGGAGAAUGGAAGUUGAAACUGGCAGUCUUGAGUACAGUAGAGGGGGGCGGAAUUCGUGGUGUAGCAGUGAAAUGCUUAGAUAUGACGAAGAACACCGAUUGCGAAGGCAGCUCACUGGACUGCAACUGACACUGAGGCUCGAAAGUGUGGGUAUCAAACAAGAUUAGAUACCCUGGUAGUC